GUGCUCACUUCAGUGGCACAAAUACUAAAACUGAAGACACAGAAGAGACUAACAUGGUCCUUGCUCAAGUAUGACAUGGAAAUUUGUAAAAUGUCCAUAUAUUUU
Molecule: small nuclear RNA, 105 nt
Organism: Marmota marmota marmota (Alpine marmot)
Lineage: Eukaryota; Metazoa; Chordata; Mammalia; Rodentia; Sciuridae
Source: Ensembl